GAAAUGCGAUAAGUAGUGUGAAUUGCAGAAUUCAGUGAAUCAUCGAAUCUUUGAACGCACAUUGCGCCCUUUGGUAUUCCUUAGGGCAUGCCUGUUCGAGCGUCAUCUAAACCUUCAAGCCCUGCUUGGUGUUGGGUGCCUGUCCCGCCUCCGCGCGCGGACUCACCUCAAAUCUAUUGGCGGCCCCCGCGUCGGCCACGAGCGCAGCAGAAACGCGAACUCGUGAGCCCGUCCGGGCGGCUCCCAGAAGCUACACCCACCCAGUUUGACCUCGGAUCAGGUAGGGAUACCCGCUGAACUUAAGC
RNAcentral lists this unclassified non-coding RNA (305 nucleotides) under plant metagenome. Its description in RNAcentral is "partial contains 5.8S ribosomal RNA, internal transcribed spacer 2, and large subunit ribosomal RNA". The stretch from base 1 to 105 matches the Rfam family "5.8S ribosomal RNA", at positions 50 to 154 of the family's 154-position model. The record is from RNAcentral.